AUUGAACGCUGGCGGCAGGCCUAACACAUGCAAGUCGGACGGUAGCACAGAGAGCUUGCUCUUGGGUGACGAGUGGCGGACGGGUGAGUAAUGUCUGGGGAUCUGCCCGAUAGAGGGGGAUAACCACUGGAAACGGUGGCUAAUACCGCAUAACGUCGCAAGACCAAAGAGGGGGACCUUCGGGCCUCUCACUAUCGGAUGAACCCAGAUGGGAUUAGCUAGUAGGCGGGGUAAUGGCCCACCUAGGCGACGAUCCCUAGCGGGUCUGAGAGGAUGACCAGCAACACUGGAACUGAGACACGGUCCAGACUCCUACGGGAGGCAGCAGUGGGGAAUAUUGCACAAUGGGCGCAAGCCUGAUGCAGCCAUGCCGCGUGUAUGAAGAAGGCCUUCGGGUUGUAAAGUACUUUCAGCGGGGAGGAAGGCGGCAAGGUUAAUAACCUUGCCGAUUGACGUUACCCGCGGAAGAAGCACCGGCUAACUCCGUGCCAGCAGCCGCGGUAA
Molecule: ribosomal RNA, 504 nt
Filed under: uncultured bacterium
Lineage: Bacteria
Description: partial 16S ribosomal RNA
Rfam family: Bacterial small subunit ribosomal RNA
Source: RNAcentral